Molecule: ribosomal RNA, 860 nt
Filed under: uncultured Burkholderia sp.
Lineage: Bacteria; Pseudomonadati; Pseudomonadota; Betaproteobacteria; Burkholderiales; Burkholderiaceae
Description: bacterial SSU rRNA
Rfam family: Bacterial small subunit ribosomal RNA
Source: RNAcentral
AUUAGAGUUUGAUCAUGGCUCAAAUUGAACGCUGGCGGCAUGCCUUACACAUGCAAGUCGAACGGCAGCACGGGAGCAAUCCUGGUGGCGAGUGGCGAACGGGUGAGUAAUACAUCGGAACGUGUCCUGUAGUGGGGGAUAGCCCGGCGAAAGCCGGAUUAAUACCGCAUACGAUCUGCGGAUGAAAGCGGGGGAUCUUCGGACCUCGCGCUGCAGGGGCGGCCGAUGGCAGAUUAGCUAGUUGGUGGGGUAAAGGCCUACCAAGGCGACGAUCUGUAGCUGGUCUGAGAGGACGACCAGCCACACUGGGACUGAGACACGGCCCAGACUCCUACGGGAGGCAGCAGUGGGGAAUUUUGGACAAUGGGCGCAAGCCUGAUCCAGCAAUGCCGCGUGUGUGAAGAAGGCCUUCGGGUUGUAAAGCACUUUUGUCCGGAAAGAAAACGCCCGGGUUAAUACCCUGGGCGGAUGACGGUACCGGAAGAAUAAGCACCGGCUAACUACGUGCCAGCAGCCGCGGUAAUACGUAGGGUGCAAGCGUUAAUCGGAAUUACUGGGCGUAAAGCGUGCGCAGGCGGUCCGCUAAGACAGAUGUGAAAUCCCCGGGCUUAACCUGGGAACUGCAUUUGUGACUGGCGGGCUAGAGUAUGGCAGAGGGGGGUAGAAUUCCACGUGUAGCAGUGAAAUGCGUAGAGAUGUGGAGGAAUACCGAUGGCGAAGGCAGCCCCCUGGGCCAAUACUGACGCUCAUGCACGAAAGCGUGGGGAGCAAACAGGAUUAGAUACCCUGUAGUCCACGCCCUAAACGAUGUCAACUAGUUGUUGGGGAUUCAUUUCCUUAGUAACGUAGCUAACGCGUGA